Molecule: ribosomal RNA, 486 nt
Filed under: uncultured bacterium
Lineage: Bacteria
Description: partial 16S ribosomal RNA
Rfam family: Bacterial small subunit ribosomal RNA
Source: RNAcentral
AUUGAACGCUGGCGGCAUGCCUUACACAUGCAAGUCGAACGGCAGCACGGGUGCUUGCCCCUGGUGGCGAGUGGCGAACGGGUGAGUAAUACAUCGGAACAUGUCCUGUAGUGGGGGAUAGCCCGGCGAAAGCCGGAUUAAUACCGCCUACGAUCUACGGAUGAAAGCGGGGGACCUUCGGGCCUCGCGCUAUAGGGUUGGCCGAUGGCUGAUUAGCUAGUUGGUGGGGUAAAGGCCUACCAAGGCGACGAUCAGUAGCUGGUCUGAGAGGACGACCAGCCACACUGGGACUGAGACACGGCCCAGACUCCUACGGGAGGCAGCAGUGGGGAAUUUUGGACAAUGGGCGAAAGCCUGAUCCAGCAAUGCCGCGUGUGUGAAGAAGGCCUUCGGGUUGUAAAGCACUUUUGUCCGGAAAGAAAUCCUUGGCUCUAAUACAGUCGGGGGAUGACGGUACCGGAAGAAUAAGCACCGGCUAACUACGUG